CGGUGUGUGGGGCGUGGUCGGUGCCCACGGUGUCGAUGGUGCCGUCGGCCAGCCCGGCGCGCAGGGCCAUCACGUCGGACUCGCGGCGCAGCGGC
Molecule: transfer RNA, 95 nt
Filed under: Micrococcus luteus
Lineage: Bacteria; Bacillati; Actinomycetota; Actinomycetes; Micrococcales; Micrococcaceae
Also listed under: 1 other name
Description: tRNA-Ile
Source: RNAcentral